AUGGCCAAACAUGGUCGAAAUACUGUCACAUGGAGAUGUCUAUCAACUGCUAUGAAAACAGUAAUUGAAUCCACAAAAUGUGCUCUAGGAGAUGGCUCCAGGAUCUCAUUCUGGUACGACUGCUGGCUACAAUGUGGAAGGCUGCACCACUCUUUCCCAGUACUUUUCUCUUUCGCACAAACCCCUUGCUGCACUGUCGCCUCUCAGUUCAGCGAUGGGCAUUGGAAUAUCAAGUUACAUCCAAACCUGACUGCAACAGCCACAAGAGAACUGGAGACACUGCUUGCUCUGCUCAUUGACAUUCAUCCGACCCCCUCUAUCAAGGAUCUUAGAAGCCCGGUUACGAGAACUGGUAACGCAACUACUGCUUUCUUCUAUGAUUUGGUCACUUUCAGAGGGGUCCUCUGCCCUAUUGCUCCAAAAAUCUGGGACAGCCUGAUUCCUAACAAGUACCGGGUCUUCCUCUGGCUUGCGCUACGGGGGCGCUUGAAUACAAGGGAUAAUAUUCUCAGGAAAAAUUGGACAUCAAUCACAACGCACAACGGCUGCGACUUAUGUCCGGCCACUGAAAGUGCCUGCCACAUAAUCCUUAGAUGCAGGCUAGCUGACGCAGUAUGGGAACGCACCAACACACGAAGCAGUGCAAGGCAAGCAACCGAUUUAGCUGAAUUCAUGUUACGGCCUGAACCUACCGCGUAUGGCAAGCUGUGGCAUAUUGUGGCUGCAGCAUGCGCUGUGACAUGCGCUGUGACCUUGUGGGCAGCCAGAAAUGAUCAAGUCUUCCAUAACACCAAGUGGGCCAGUGCUAGAGCGUUUCAUGAGAUUGCACAACUUCUCAGGCUAUGGGGCAAUCGCGCCAAAAACGAAGGAAAUAAGAUCAAACUUUGUAAUUUUGCUGAUGUUUUCUCCCCGCCCCCCUCCCCACACUCCGUAUAG
RNAcentral lists this ribosomal RNA (936 nucleotides) under Triticum aestivum (bread wheat). Its description in RNAcentral is "partial small subunit ribosomal RNA". Lineage: Eukaryota; Viridiplantae; Streptophyta; Magnoliopsida; Poales; Poaceae. The record is from RNAcentral.